Long non-coding RNA from Oreochromis niloticus (Nile tilapia), 1755 nucleotides. RefSeq lists it as uncharacterized. The transcript is spliced from 4 exons. The record is from RefSeq and is a predicted model, not a curated record. Lineage: Eukaryota; Metazoa; Chordata; Actinopteri; Cichliformes; Cichlidae.
ACUUCUUCGCUCUCUUUUCCUCAGCUGUGUCCAGUUGUCCUGAUUAGCCCUCAGUAGGUGUGUAGUGUGGUGUAGUAUUUACAGCUUUGCCUCUGUUGUGCUUUCGUCAAUGUUUUUGUGUUCUGUUUUUUCUUUCUCGAUUACGUUGGAUUGUGCACUUUGUUUUCUCUUGUGGACACUUGCGUUUUGGACUUGAGUGGACAGCCUGAAUAAAGUAUCUGGAGGAAGAGAGUCUGACAGAGGAACAGAAGAUCUGUGGCAUUUUAAGCCACUAUAGAGGAAAUGAUGAGCUCAACACACAUGGACCAACAUGGAGCGAGAAGUCAGCGCUCUCAGGAGGCCGACAAACCUCACAGAACAAAGAGAGAGAGAAAAUACAGCUGUGAGGAGUGUGGGAAGGAUUUUACUGCAAAGGCUUUCCUAAAAAGACACACAGUCAGCCACACUGGAGAGAGACCGUUCAGCUGUGACCAUGUGGGGAAACUCUUUUACCUGGGCUGGACACUUAAAAACACACCUUUUCAUCCACAGUGGAGUAAAACCAUUCAGAUGUGACUUGUGUGGGAAGUUCUUUACUCAGCAAAGUGGCCUAAAAAAGCAUCAAUGUGGGAAAUGUUUUACCCGGAAAGAUGGUUUGGAAAGGCAUAAGCUCAUCCACCGUGGAGUUAAACCAUACAGCUGUGAUCAGUGUGGAAGAGCUUUUAAUCAAAGGAACCACUUAAGAAUGCACCUAGUUACCCACUCUGGAAUUAAUGCAUUCAGCUGUAACAUCUGUGGAAAAACCUUUAGCCGCAAAGAGAACCAAAAUAAACACCUACACAUUCACACCAGACAUUUGUACUGCUGUGAUCAGUGUGAGAAACGUUUUGCAACAGAUGCAGACUUGCAAUACCGCAAACUUACCCACACAGAGGAGAGGCCUUAUAAAUGUGACCUGUGUGAGAAGGCUUUUAAAUAUCCAAAAUCCUUGAGAGUCCACCAACAGAUCCACACCAGAAAGAAACUGUACAAAUGCAGUUACUGUGAGAAGCAGAGCGACACAGAUGGAUCCAGUUCUCAACCCUAUCAUCGUUGUUGUGGUGGGAAACCAUUUCAUUGUGACCUUUGUGGAAAAACAUUUAACCAGGAAAGAAGCCUAAAACUACAUUAACGUAGACACACAGGAGACAAAAUGAACUACUGCAAAGAAUGUCGGAGAGGCUUCCCCACUCCAAGUGAGUUAAAACAACAUGAACUCUUCCACAAAGGGUUUAAAAAGCAUGUCUGUGACCAGUGUGGGUCGUCACUCAUCACUGCAGGUGACCUUAAAAAGCAUAAGAGUCCACACAGGAGAGAAACCAUACAAAUGCAGACACUGUGACAGAAGCUUCUCACAAUCAGUUAAUCACAAUGAUCAUGUGACUAAAGCUCUAGGAAUCUCUGCUAAUACUCUAUACAAUCUUUCAACCUUCUGAUUCUGUGUUAAUCCCUACUCCCAAAACUCUAAAUGGUUUUAAACCUGUUCAUUUUAAAACCUUCAACUAAGAACAGAAUAUGAAACAACUGCUGUGACUUUGUCCAUAAAAAGGAUGAAAAUGAAACUUGACCUGGUCCUGUACUCUCCUUCAGUGUAAUUUGUACCACUAUGUGGAGCACCGAGUCAGUGUAACCUUAAUUUAAUUGGGCAAAGAUCAUUUUGUCAUUUACAGUGGUAGCUUGCAGAAGGAAAAGCCUCUUUUUUUUUUUCUUUCUUUUUAACCUGUCCCGUUUGGUUCU